Molecule: long non-coding RNA, 275 nt
Filed under: Lathyrus oleraceus (garden pea)
Lineage: Eukaryota; Viridiplantae; Streptophyta; Magnoliopsida; Fabales; Fabaceae
Description: Pisum sativum (pea) long non-coding RNA (PSAT_LNC004265)
Source: RNAcentral
CUUGUUCUCGUUUAUACGUUUUAAUUCAUUUUAAUUCAUCUUUUAAUCAUCUUUAAACAUAGUGCAUGUUGACCUUUUUCAUCUAUUAUUCAAAAAAAGAUCAAAAAGAUUAAACAUCGAGUACUAACACAAGAAUAAAAUCAAUUUCUUUUCAAAAAAAUCAAAAAAAUAAAAUGAUCCAACAUCGAGUAUUUUCAAUAUAAACGAAUCCAUCCAUCUUCUAUUCAUCCAUUUCUAUCUAUUCCAUUUCUUUCAAACUAUGUCAUUCAAAUCUU